Molecule: ribosomal RNA, 310 nt
Filed under: uncultured Deferrisoma sp.
Lineage: Bacteria; Pseudomonadati; Thermodesulfobacteriota; Deferrisomatia; Deferrisomatales; Deferrisomataceae
Description: bacterial SSU rRNA
Rfam family: Bacterial small subunit ribosomal RNA
Source: RNAcentral
UUCCUCCGGGAGGCAGCAGUAAGGAAUUUUGUGCAAUGGGCGAAAGCCUGACACAGCGACGCCGCGUGGGGGAUGAAGGCUUUCGGGUUGUAAACCCCUUUUCUCAGGGAGGAAUAAUGACAGUACCUGAGGAAUAAGUCCCGGCUAACUACGUGCCAGCAGCCGCGGUAAUACGUAGGUGGCGAGCGUUAUCCGGAUUUAUUGGGCGUAAAGCGGGUGCAGGCGGUUUUUCAAGUCGGAUGUAAAAUUUCUCGGCUUAACUGAGGAGGUGCAUUCGAUACUGCUAAGCUUGAGGAUAGCGAGGAGAGGU